This 2879-nucleotide long non-coding RNA is filed under the name Sus scrofa (pig). RNAcentral's name for it is "lncRNA (ENSSSCG00055026351.1)". Lineage: Eukaryota; Metazoa; Chordata; Mammalia; Artiodactyla; Suidae. The record is from RNAcentral.
UUUUUUUUUUUUUUUUUAAAAAAAACCUCAACUGAUAACAAAAACUGAGAGAGUUACUUCAGAGCUGGUACUGAUAAGGGAAUUUGAUCUGUGGCAACUUUAAAAAUAGUUUUGGUGAUGAUAAAGUUGUGUGAAAGUAGUACAAAUGAUACCCAUGAUCCUUUACUGCAUUUACUAAUCUCUUUCAUGUUUAAAAUUAUAUUCCAAAUUUGGUUUACACAGUCUUCUAUAUACUUGCAAAUGUGUCUGAAUUAGGUGGGCUAUGUUUCAAAACGAAAAACUCAAAUGCAAGAAGCUAGGAAACUUCUCAUUUCCCAUAGAAUUCCUAGCAGAAAAGAAGAGGUAAAACUGUUGAUGCUUAACUUGUUUCUAUAACGGCUGUAUGGUGUCAUUACCCCAUCCUUAACUGAGAAUGUUUUUUUUGGAAAUUUAUCGGGAACAGGUAAGGACAAAUUUAACCUGAUAUUUGUCAGACAUAUCCUUGUCAACUACAUUUUUGGUGCAAAUUUUAGUUCCAAAUAAAGUUGCCAGAUUUAUCAAAUACAACAACGGAAUACUCAGUUAAAUUUGAAGUAGAGAUAAACAACUUUUUUUUUUGGUGUAAGUAUGCCACAAAUAUUACAUGGGACAUAGUUAUAUUUAAAAAUUAUCCUUUUUAAUUUAAAAUUCAAAUUUUAAAUCUGGAAACAAAUCUGACUGGCAUCCAUCAGGCUGCAGGUUUGAUCCUUGGCCUCAUUCAGUGGGUUAAGGAUCCAGCAGUAUAGGUAACAGACGUGGCUCGGAUCCCAUGUUACUGUGGCUGUGGUGCCUCCAUAUGCCACGUGUGUGGCCCUGAAAAGACAAAAUUUUUUUUAAAUUCAGAUUUAAUUAGAUGUGAUGAAUUCUAUCUGGCAAUACUAAUUUCAUUUUUUUUUUUUUAGGACUGCACCUGCAGCAUAUGGAGAUUCCCAGGCUAGGGGUUGAAUCGGAGCUGUAGCUGUUGGCCUACGCAGGAUCCCAGCCACAUCUUUGACCUACACCAUAGCUCAUGGCAACGUUGGAUCCUUAACUCACUGAGCUAAGCCAGGGAUUUCGAACCUGUGUCCUCAUGGAUGCUAGUCAGAUUCGUUAACCACUGAGCCAUCUCGGGAACUCCAAUACUAAUUUUAGAGUGAGUAGUUUAGUAACUUGAAAUCAAAGGGCCAUAAACCAGGAGUAUUUAUUUGACAAGCACCACUAAUAAGGGUAAGAAACUAAUCUAAACCACUAAUCUCCUUCCAUUCCCUACCCUUCACUAGUAUCCUUAUAAAAUAAUUUUAAAUGAUUUUUAAAUGAUUUUUUAAUAAAAUAAUUUAAAUUUUGGUUCAUUUUUGUUCCUCCUGCCGCACCCAUGGCACAUGGAAGUUCCCAGGACAGGGGUUAAACCCACACCACAGCAGUGACCCAGGUCGUUGCAGUGACAAUGCCGACCCUUAACCUGCUGCACCGCAAGAGAAUUCCUCAGUCCAUAUUUUUAUACAGUAGUAACCCAAGUCAGUAGUAACUUUUUUUUUUUAUAAUGAUUUUUAUUUUUUCCAUUGUGAGUGGUAACUUUGAAAAGCAGCUUGGAUUUAACAGAAAAUCAACCUUUUCAUCGGUCAAAAGAAGGCAUUCCAGAUUAAAAUUCCUCAUUUAUUUAUGUCAAUAUUUUCAGCCAGUAAAAUAAUCAUAGCUUAUACAUAGUUGUUACGACCUACAAAGUCAGCUGAAACUUUGCCUGUGGAAUAACUGAUUUAUGUAUCGUAUAAAUGAAAAAAUAGUAUCAGUAGAUUAUUGACCUGACAUUGUUAACUGAAAUUAAAAUGCAAAAUACUCGAUUCAUUGUGUAUCAGUAAAAAAGAAAAAAAAAAUCAUCCUCAUUAAAGGUACAGUGUCAAAUGCUUGAGAGUAAAGGAAAAAAAUUUUUUUUGUCCUUUUAGGGCCACACCCAUGGAAUAUGGAGGUUCCCAGGCUAGGGGUCGAAUCGGAGCUGUAGCUGCCAGCCUACACCACUGCCAGGGCAACGAGGGAUCCUUAACCCACUGAGCAAGGCCAGGGAUUGAACCCUCGUCCUGAUGGAUGCUAGUCAGAUUCGUUUCCACUGAGCCACGACGGGAACUCCAGGAAAUUCUUAAUCAGCCCAGACAGCAGAGGGGAGGGAGAACAAACAUGAGCAAGUGAGUAUCUAUCAAGGUAUGGAAGGCAGAAUAAGGAAUCCUCUCCCCAAAAUAUGUCCAAGUCUUAAUCCCCAGACCUGUGACCUGUAAAAGGGACUUUGCUGAUGUGACUAAAUUUAAAUAUCUUAAAAUAGGGAAAUUAUCCUGAAUUGGGUGAGUGGACCCAAACUAAUCACCCAAGUCUUUAAAAGUAGAGGACCCUUCCUUGCUGUGCAGAAUCAGAGAUGGGAGCAUGAGAAAGACUCAACACAGUUGCUGGCUUUGAAGAUGGGAGAAGGGGCCACGUGCCAAGGAAUACAGAUGGUCUCUGAUAGCUAGAAAAAGCAAGGAAAUGGGUUCUCCCUUAGAGUUGCCAGAGAGAAACUCAGCACUGCCAACACCUUUAUUUUAGCUCAGUGAGACUGGUGUCUGGCUUAAUAAAUAACUAUGAAUUUAUCUUGUUUUAAACUACUACAUUAGAAAAAUAAAAUAAAAAACUAUAAGAGAAAUCUAACAUGUAAGGCUAGAUUCUUUCCAAUUAAAACACUCUGGAAUUUGAGAUUAGGCAGUCUCACAAAUGGUCUCAGGGCACGGAACUCUGUAAGAAACUAAAGGAUUUUUUCUUGAAAUCUGGAUGUGAAUUUGCAUGCUACCUCCCACUCUUGGCUACACCUUCUCCACUAAUUUAGAGUUUCCCCCCCCCCAGGGGUUGUCAAAUAGCUACCC